CUUAUGUAUCCACAGAACUCUCCCUCUCAAGUGGGUAAGAAAAAUUUUUAAAAAAGAUAGAAAUCCCCAGAAGAGAGAGAUCCACCUGCAGUUUGGAAGAAAGUUAUUCCAUGGUGCCUGAAGUGACUUCAACAGAAAAAGACACUACGGCAGAUGGCAAAGGGCAGCAAGAAGGCCCCUCUUCUCCCACGACGACAUCUCACAACCGUACCAGGCUUUCCAAUUUCCAAGGUGUUCUUCACACGUAUCGUCCUGUUUAAUUCUCACUAUGGCCAGUGAUACUGGUGAGACAGAUAGGAUUUGGCUGAUUUUUACAGACGAGAGUACUCAGGCUCCAAGAGAGAACUUGCCUAAGGUUAAAAGCUAGAAAGAGACAGUCCUGGGUAAACCAGGUUUUAAUCUGAUUCCAUUUAAUUAUUCCCCAUACGUCUUCAUAAAAGAUGUCCUCUUUAGAACUCCUGACCCAGAGCUUCCUUGGCUCUCCCUCCUGCCCCCUCCCUUCCUCACUAGGAGGUUUUCAUCAGGCAGCCUGUGUCAUUUGUGCAAUUUACAAAUACUCCCUGAAUCCUAUCAGCAGUUAAGCACCGCUGCGGGGUUAUGACUGGCAAUUGGAAAAAUCCCCUUCAUUUGCACCUAUCUUCUUCCUUCCUUUGAGAGUCAAGUUUACCAAAAAACUGCUCUGCAUUUACUUCUUUUCCCAAUUUAUCUCUCUACCCAAGGCAACCCAUUCCCACUCCCACCAGUGGCCCAUGAAAUGGCACCUUCCUUCCCUGCAUCAUUGAAUUCUGGUGAUGGCUCCCUCCUCUAUGAAACUUCCCCUCUGUUGAAUCUGGCACAAUUGUCUUCAUCCUUCAUUUCUGGUAAUUUCCCCGCAUGCUUCAUCUCAGAUCUUUGUCCCCCCCCCCAACCUCCAUCCUUUAAAUACUAAUGUUCCUGGUCAGGGUUUCUGUAGCUUUCUGUUCUUUGCUUUUUGCAAUGUAAACCAUUGGCUUCAAUGGCCGUCUAGAAAUCAGCCAUCAGCUUACCAUCUCCAGCCCAAACCACUCUCCUGAACUCAACCACAGGUAGUGGGCGACCUGCUUUCUCCUCCUUGGGAUGGGUCCAUGGAACUUGAACUGUCUUCCUAUUUCUUUCUUAGUUUAUUUCCUCAGUGGCUUUCCCAAUAGCUUGACUGCUGUCUUCCUCCUCAACAUGCCCGUCCCUCAAUUUAACUGGUCCGCAGAGAGUGCAAAUGUGGUGAUCUGUUGGCUUCUGUGAGGUCCUUCAGUGAAGGUCCUCCUUCCCACGAGGCCUGCAAGGCUCCUCUGGAUCUGGGUCUUGCCUCUCCUCCUGCCUCUCUCUUGGGACUCUUCCAACUCUGGGCCCCAUGUUGUGGGAUGCCCUGAACUCCUUGAUGCCUCUAAGGUUUUAUAUGUGGAUCUUGCUUUCCAGAAUGGUCAAUUCUAUUUGCCUCACUUGGCUAACCCUUUGGGACUGUUCCAGCAAGAAGCAUACCAUCCCCCUUUAAGCCUCCACUGAGUUAUGUGCUGCCCCCGGCUCCCUACCCCAGGGUCCCUCUUCCAUGGCUUUUAUCCCACUUUUACAAUAACUGAGUUUUCUAGUUGGAUCACGAGAUACUUAGAGGCAGACUGGUGCCUUUUAUCCUUUGUUCCCAGCACUAAGC
Molecule: long non-coding RNA, 1663 nt
Filed under: Marmota monax (woodchuck)
Lineage: Eukaryota; Metazoa; Chordata; Mammalia; Rodentia; Sciuridae
Source: RNAcentral